GUCGGACACAACUGAGCAACUAAGCAUAGCACAGAACAGCUAAAAUUAACAAGAUUGGCCACAUCAAGUGUUGGGAGGAUGUUGGGCAUCUGGAACUCUCAUUCUUUUAGGUAGGAAUGCAAAGGGUGCAUCCACUUAGGAGAACAUUCAGAUGCUUCUUAUAAAGUUGAACAUACAAUUACCUCCGACUCAGUGAUGACUGCCUUAUGUAUUCACAUGAGGGAAAUUAAAACAUUUGUCCACAAAACAAUUUGUAUGCAAAUGUCCCUUAGCAACUUAAUUCAAAAUAGACCUCGACUGGAAACAACCCAAAUAUUCACCAAAUAGUGGAUGGAUAGAUAAACUGUGACGUAUCCAUACCAGGGAAUACUACUCAAGAACAAAAAGGCGUGAACCGCUCAUAUGGACGUGCACACAUCGAUGUGCACAGAUCUGCAGAGUGUUCUGCUGAGAGAAGAAGACAGGCCCCAGAGACUACACACCAGAUGUGGACACAGAUGCACUGAGUCAAGAGACCUGCCCAAGGAAGGCAUCCAGAGCUGGAAUGUGAGCCCAGGUGGGGAUUCUGCCCUGGAGCAUCUGGACCUUACCCCAGGAGGCCCGUGAGUGAAGGGACGUGGCCAAGUCUCCUGGGUCAGGCCGAGACAG
Molecule: long non-coding RNA, 648 nt
Organism: Bos taurus (domestic cattle)
Lineage: Eukaryota; Metazoa; Chordata; Mammalia; Artiodactyla; Bovidae
Source: Ensembl